GCAGGAACUUAGAAGUUCCUCUGUUUUGUUCAGCAUCAGCAAGAAUGGGACACGGAUGUUCCAUUCAGGUACAAUCGAGCCCGGAUGGCUCGUUGGACCGUUUGCGUCAUAUUGCAAUAACUUCUCCAAAACAGACAGAACUUCUUAGUUCCGUAG
Molecule: non-coding RNA, 156 nt
Filed under: human gut metagenome
Source: RNAcentral